CCAGUGUGUGGAACUGCCCCAGCCAGACCUUCAGAGUCUUAGGGAAGGAUAAGAGGGUGGAGGUAGACAUCACUUUGGAGGGUAAGAUAUUCCAAAGGACAGGUGCUGCAGCAGAGAAGGCUCAUCCAAAUCAGGGGUCUCCAACCUUGGCAACUUUAAG
Molecule: non-coding RNA, 160 nt
Organism: Pseudonaja textilis
Lineage: Eukaryota; Metazoa; Chordata; Lepidosauria; Squamata; Elapidae
Source: RefSeq, a predicted model, not a curated record